AUGCAACAGGUUAGUCAGAGGCCUGGCAAUCUUGGAGAAGUUCUCGCCAAAUCGACGACAAUAGCUGGCGAGUCUGAGAAAACUUCUGACUUGCUUGACAUUCUUCAGAGGAGCCCAAUCGAGAAUUGCCUGGACUCGUUCAGGGUUGACGGCAAUACCAUCCUUGGAGAUGACAUGCCCGAGAUAGGUUACUUCGGGAAGCCGGAAUUCACACUUGGAAUACUUAGCGUAGAGUUGAUGCUCUCAAAGCUUUUUCAGCACAAGACGAAGAUGCUCAGCAUGUUCUUCUUUGUUCUUGGAAAAUACAAGGAUGUCAUCCAGAUAAACCACGACGAACUUGUCGAGGUAAUCCAUGAAUAUAUAGUUUAUCAGACGAGAGAAGGUGGCUGGAGCAUUCGUUAA
RNAcentral lists this ribosomal RNA (402 nucleotides) under Triticum aestivum (bread wheat). RNAcentral's name for it is "partial small subunit ribosomal RNA". Lineage: Eukaryota; Viridiplantae; Streptophyta; Magnoliopsida; Poales; Poaceae. The record is from RNAcentral.